This is a long non-coding RNA of Melitaea cinxia (Glanville fritillary), 336 nucleotides long. RefSeq lists it as uncharacterized. The transcript has 4 exons. The record is from RefSeq and is a predicted model, not a curated record. NCBI's taxonomy places the organism in Eukaryota, Metazoa, Arthropoda, Insecta, Lepidoptera, Nymphalidae.
AAUUUCUUUUAGUAGGUAAUCGAUUCGUAACGCACUAUCAGGUGAUAUUCUUUACAUGUUGAAGAAUGAUCUUGAAGUUUUUUUUACGUGCACUAUUCGCCAUAUACUUUGCAACACCAUGCGUGGCAGAGGGAGGCGGAUUUAAAGCUAUGGAAGAUGUUUUCAACAAAACAAUCGAAAAACCGAUGUCGAUGUUCAAACAAUAUAUGUUUGGUGCUUAAAUGAAACGAAAAUCAAGAAAGCGUCGACGAAAACAUUCAACAGUACUCGAUGAAAUAUUGUUUAAAGUUGUCCUGCAGUUAUUUCAAAAUUAAUAAAUAUUUUUAGUUGUUAUUA